RNAcentral lists this ribosomal RNA (441 nucleotides) under uncultured Glomus. RNAcentral's name for it is "SSU rRNA". It matches the Rfam family "Eukaryotic small subunit ribosomal RNA", at positions 569 to 1018 of the family's 1831-position model. Lineage: Eukaryota; Fungi; Glomeromycota; Glomeromycetes; Glomerales; Glomeraceae. The record is from RNAcentral.
AGCAGCCGCGGUAAUUCCAGCUCCAAUAGCGUAUAUUAAAGUUGUUGCAGUUAAAAAGCUCGUAGUUGAAUUUCGGGGUUAGUAGGUUGGUCAUGCCUCUGGUAUGUACUGGUCUCACUGAUUCCUCCUUCCUGAUGAGCCGUAAUGCCAUUAAUUUGGUGUUGCGGGGAAUUUGGACUGUUACUUUGAAAAAUUAGAGUGUUUAAAGCAAGCUAACGCUUGAAUACAUUAGCAUGGAAUAAUGAAAUAGGACGUUCGAUCCUAUUUUGUUGGUUUCUAGGAUUGACGUAAUGAUUAAUAGGGAUAGUUGGGGCAUUAGUAUUCAAUUGUCAGAGGUGAAAUUCUUGGAUUUAUUGAAGACUAACUACUGCGAAAGCAUUUGCCAAGGAUGUUUUCAUUAAUCAAGACGAAAGUUAGGGAUCGAAGACGAUCAGAUACCGU